RNAcentral lists this ribosomal RNA (433 nucleotides) under uncultured bacterium. Its description in RNAcentral is "partial 16S ribosomal RNA". It matches the Rfam family "Bacterial small subunit ribosomal RNA", at positions 29 to 507 of the family's 1533-position model. The record is from RNAcentral.
AACGAACGCUGGCGGCAUGCCUAACACAUGCAAGUCGAACGAGACCUUCGGGUCUAGUGGCGCACGGGUGCGUAACGCGUGGGAACCUGCCCUUAGGUUCGGAAUAACUCCCCGAAAGGGGUGCUAAUACCGGAUAAUGUCUUCGGACCAAAGAUUUAUCGCCUUUGGAUGGGCCCGCGUUGGUUUAGCUAGUUGGUAGGGUAAAAGCCUACCAAGGCGACGAUCCAUAGCUGUUCUGAGAGGAUGAUCAGCCACACUGGGACUGAGACACGGCCCAGACUCCUACGGGAGGCAGCAGUGGGGAAUAUUGGACAAUGGGCGAAAGCCUGAUCCAGCAAUGCCGCGUGAGUGAUGAAGGCCUUAGGGUUGUAAAGCUCUUUUACCCGGGAUGAUAAUGACAGUACCGGGAGAAUAAGCUCCGGCUAACUCCGUG